GGGGGGGGCAAGCGUUGUUCGGAAUUACUGGGCGUAAAGGGCUCGUAGGUGGCCAACUAAGUCAGACGUGAAAUCCCUCGGCUUAACCGGGGAACUGCGUCUGAUACUGGAUGGCUUGAGUUUGGGAGAGGGACGCGGAAUUCCAGGUGUAGCGGUGAAAUGCGUAGAUAUCUGGAGGAACACCGGUGGCGAAGGCGGCGUCCUGGACCAACACUGACACUGAUGAGCGAAAGCCAGGGGAGCAAACGGGAUUAGAUACCCCGGUAGUCCUGGCCCUAAACGAUGAAUGCUUGGUGUGGCGGGUAUCGAUCCCUGCCGUGCCGAAGCUAACGCAUUAAGCAUUCCGCCUGGGGAGUACGGUCGCAAGGCUG
Molecule: ribosomal RNA, 371 nt
Filed under: uncultured bacterium
Lineage: Bacteria
Description: bacterial SSU rRNA
Rfam family: Bacterial small subunit ribosomal RNA
Source: RNAcentral